RNAcentral lists this ribosomal RNA (504 nucleotides) under Xylocopa urbanae. Its description in RNAcentral is "Xylocopa sp. 1 ACM-2019 partial 28S ribosomal RNA". The record is from RNAcentral. Lineage: Eukaryota; Metazoa; Arthropoda; Insecta; Hymenoptera; Apidae.
AGAGAGAGUUCAAGAGUACGUGAAACCGUCCAGGGUUAAACCUGAGAAACCCAAAAGAUACGAAUGGCAAAGAUUCAUCGACGACGAUACUGGAUCCCGAUGGCACGCGAAGCCCCGGUGGUACCGUCGCGGUUCCACAGCGAGCGGUACAACGCCAUCGGCGAACGUUCCGGUGAUAUAGUCAUGCACUUCUCCCCUAGUAGAACGUUGCGACCCGUUACGCGUCGGUCUACGGCCCGAGUGGGCGCCUAUGGCGUCGCAAACUUGCGCAUGCUGCAGACUCUCGGUCGCCCGACCGGCUGCGCAACGGUACUCGUACAGUAUCGGGCCGCAACCAAUCCAUUCUCCAAUAUAUAUGUGUCUAACCUAAAGGUGAAAUGAAAGUGAAACGGCCUUCGCGUUGACCAAGGGGUUGGGCCGCGUACACAUGGGGUCUCGCACUCCCGGGGCGUCUCGCUCUCAUCGCGAGAAGAGGUGCACAUAAAGCGUACACGUUGGGACCCG